GAAUAUUCCACCUGAAAUGUAGACGAAUGAUCUACAAAAAUGUAGAUGAUGAUUUUUUUUUUGAAAAAAAAAAAAAUAUGAUGAAUUUUGGCACAAAAAAACGCCAUAGUACAUUAAGUCGAAAGAAAUGCUGUUUUUCAACAUGUUGUAAAAACGUGCCAUAUGAUGAAAUAAUGUAAAGGAGGGUGUGAAAAACACUCCAGAAAGGUUUUCUUUGAAAAAAAAAAUCAUAAUGAAUUUUGGCGCAAAAAAAACGCCUUACUAUACUAUGUCGAAAAAAAAUGGGAUUUUUCAAACAUGUUGUAAAAACGUGUCACAUGAUGAAAUAAUGUAAAGGAGGCCGUGAAAAACACUCCAGAAAGGUUUUCUCUGAAAAAAAAAUCAUCAUGAAUUUUGGCGCAAAAAAAACGCCUUACUAUACUAUGUCGAAAAAAAAUGCAAUUUUUCAAACAUGUUGUAAAAACGUGUCAUAUGAUGAAAUAAUGUAAAGGAGGCCGUAAAAAAUACUCCAGAAAGGUUUUCUUUGAAAAAAAAAUCAUCAUGAAUUUUGGCGCAAAAAAAACGCCUUACUAUACUAUGUCGAAAAAAAAUGGGAUUUUUCAAACAUGUUGUAAAAACGUGCCAUAUGAUGAAAUAAUGUAAAGGAGGCCGUAAAAAACACUCCAGAAAGGUUUUCUUUGAAAAAAAAAGCAUCAUGAAUUUUGGCGCAAAAAAACGCCUUACUAUACUAUGUCGAAAAAAAAUGCGAUUUUUCAGCAUGUUGUCAAAAUGUGUCACAUGAUGAAAUAAUGUAAAGGAGGCCGUGAAAAACACUCCAGAAAGGUUUUCUUUGAAAAAAAAAUCAUCAUGAAUUUUGGCGCAAAAAAAAACGCCUUACUAUACUAUGUCGAAAAAAAAUGGGAUUUUUCAAACAUGUUGUAAAAACGUGCCAUAUGAUGAAAUAAUGUAAAGGAGGCCGUGAAAAACACUCCAGAAAGGUUUUCUUUGAAA
Molecule: long non-coding RNA, 990 nt
Organism: Amphiprion ocellaris (clown anemonefish)
Lineage: Eukaryota; Metazoa; Chordata; Actinopteri; Pomacentridae
Source: Ensembl